This 253-nucleotide ribosomal RNA is filed under the name uncultured bacterium. RNAcentral describes it as "partial 16S ribosomal RNA". It matches the Rfam family "Bacterial small subunit ribosomal RNA", at positions 524 to 776 of the family's 1533-position model. The record is from RNAcentral.
UACGAAGGGUGCAAGCGUUAUUCGGAAUUAUUGGGCGUAAAGGGUUCGUAGGCGGGAAGCCAAGUCAGAUGUGAAAUCCCUGAGCUUAACUUAGGACUUGCAUUUGAUACUGGUUUUCUUGAGUACUGAAGAGGGUGGUGGAAUUGCUGGUGUAGGAGUGACAUCCGUAGAUAUCAGCAGGAACACCGGAGGCGAAAGCGGCCACCUGGUCGAGUACUGACGCUGAGGAACGAAAGCGUGGGGAGCAAACAGG